GACGAACGCUGGCGGCGUGCUUAACACAUGCAAGUCGAACGGUGAAGCGCCUUCCUUUUUGGUGGGUGUGGAUGAGUGGCGCACGGGUGAGUAACACGUGAGUAACCUGCCCCCUUCUUCUGGAUAACCGCAUGACAGUGUGCCUAAUACGGGAUAUUCUGGGUCUGUCGCAUGAUGGGUCUGGGAAAGAUCUUGUUUCGGUGGGGGAUGGGCUCGCGGCCUAUCAGCUUGUUGGUGGGGUGAUGGCCUACCAAGGCGGUGACGGGUAGCCGGCCUGGGAGGGUGGACGAUCACACUGGGGCUGAGACACGGCGCAGACUCCUACGGGAGGCAGCAGUGAGGAAUAUUGCACAAUGGGCGCAAGCCUGAUGCAGCGACGCCGCGUGAGGGAUGGAGGCCGGCGGGUUGUGAACCUCUUUCGCCAGUGAAGCAGGCCUGCCUCGUUUGUGGGUGGGUUGACGGUAGCUGGAUAAGAAGCGCCGGCUAACUACGUG
This 494-nucleotide ribosomal RNA is filed under the name uncultured bacterium. RNAcentral's name for it is "partial 16S ribosomal RNA". It matches the Rfam family "Bacterial small subunit ribosomal RNA", at positions 28 to 507 of the family's 1533-position model. The record is from RNAcentral.